This 77-nucleotide small nucleolar RNA is filed under the name Periophthalmus magnuspinnatus. RNAcentral's name for it is "Small nucleolar RNA U2-30 (ENSPMGG00000010012.1)". The record is from RNAcentral. Lineage: Eukaryota; Metazoa; Chordata; Actinopteri; Gobiiformes; Gobiidae.
GAGCCCUGAUGUUAAUCUGCAAACCUUAAGUGCCUCAUAUGCACCUCAUGAUGGUUUCUACACUUGAACUGAGCUCA